RNAcentral lists this unclassified non-coding RNA (245 nucleotides) under plant metagenome. Its description in RNAcentral is "partial contains small subunit ribosomal RNA, internal transcribed spacer 1, and 5.8S ribosomal RNA". The record is from RNAcentral.
UCUCCGUUGGUGACCCAGCGGAGGGAUCAUUACCGAGUUUACAACUCCCAAACCCAAUGUGAACGUUACCAAACUGUUGCCUCGGCGGGGUCACGCCCCGGGUGCGUCGCAGCCCCGGAACCAGGCGCCCGCCGGAGGAACCAACCAAACUCUUUCUGUAGUCCCCUCGCGGACGUUAUUUCUUACAGCUCUGAGCAAAAAUUCAAAAUGAAUCAAAACUUUCAACAACGGAUCUCUUGGUUCUG